Cygnus atratus (black swan) is the source of this 5235-nucleotide RNA transcript. It is a transcript of the gene named LEO1 homolog, Paf1/RNA polymerase II complex component, with no coding region annotated. The record is from RefSeq and is a predicted model, not a curated record. The transcript is spliced from 13 exons. Lineage: Eukaryota; Metazoa; Chordata; Aves; Anseriformes; Anatidae.
UGGCGGCGGCGGGGCGCUGCGCUGCGUUACCGCGUCACUGCCCGGCGCCGGCGGCGCGUGCGGCGGUCAUGGCCGACAUGGAGGAGCUCUUCGGCAGCGACGCCGACUCGGAGGCCGAGCAGAAAGAUUCUGACUCCGGAUCUGAAUCUGAUUCCGAUCAGGAGAAUGCUGGCUCCGGUAGUAAUGCUUCUGGAAGCGACAGUGACCAGGACGAUGACAGGGAGGCAAUAAAACCUAGUAAUAAAGAACUGUUUGGAGAUGACAGUGAGGAUGAAGGAGCAUCCCAUCAUACAGGCAGCGACAACCACUCUGAAAGAUCGUACAAUCGCUCUGAAGCCUCAGGACAUUCUGAGCAUGAAGAUAAUGAUCAGUCAGAUGUGGAUCAGCACAGUGCUUCAGAAGCUGCUCACGACGAUGAGGAGGAUGAUCGAGGGCACGGAUCAGAUGAAGGCAGUCAUCAUUCGGAGGGAGAUGGUUCUGAAAAGGCACAUUCAGAGGAUGAGAAGUGGGGCAAGGAGGACAAGAGUGAUCAGUCAGAUGAUGAGAGGCAGCAGAACUCUGAUGAUGAGGAGAAAGUGCAGAACUCUGAUGAAGAUGAAAGGCCACAGAUGUCUGACGAUGACGAGAGAGCCCAGAACUCUGAUGAGGAGAAGAUGCAGAACUCCGAUGAGGAGGAGAGGCCACAGGCCUCAGAUGAGGAGAAGAUGCAGAACUCUGAUGAGGAUGAAAGGGCCCAGCAUUCUGACGAGGAGAAGAUGCAGAACUCUGAUGAUGAUGAAAGGGCCCAGCACUCUGACGAGGAGGAACAAGAGCAUAAAUCUGAGUCUGCAAGAGGUAGCGAUAGCGAGGAUGAAGUUUUGCGAAUGAAGCGAAAGAAACCAAUUGCGUCAGAUUCAGAGGUGGACAGUGAUACAGAAGGACAGAAAGAACAUGCAGAUGUCAUGGACCUGUUUGGAGGUGCAGAUGACAUUUCCUCAGGGAGUGAUGGAGAAGACAAGCCACCAACUCCAGGACAACCCAUUGAUGAGAAUGGACUGAGUCAAGAACAGCAGGAAGAAGAGCCUAUUCCAGAGACAAGAAUAGAGGUUGAAAUACCAAAAGUAAAUACAGACUUGGGUAAUGAUUUGUAUUUUGUGAAGCUGCCCAACUUCCUUAGUGUGGAGCCCAGACCCUUUGAUCCCCAGUAUUAUGAAGAUGAAUUUGAAGAUGAGGAGAUGCUUGAUGAAGAAGGUAGAACUAGGUUAAAACUCAAGGUAGAAAACACAAUACGGUGGCGGAUGCGUCGAGAUGAGGAAGGGAAUGAGAUUAGAGAAAGUAAUGCCCGGAUAGUCAAGUGGUCGGAUGGAAGCAUGUCUCUCCACUUGGGAAAUGAGGUCUUUGAUGUGUACAAGGCACCACUGCAGGGAGAUCACAACCAUUUGUUUAUCAGACAAGGGACAGGUCUACAAGGACAGGCUGUUUUCAAGACAAAGUUAACCUUCAGGCCACACUCUACAGACAGCGCCACUCACAGGAAGAUGACUUUGUCUCUGGCAGAUAGAUGUUCAAAGACCCAGAAAAUUCGUAUUUUGCCAAUGGCAGGUCGUGAUCCAGAGUCUCAGCGGACAGAAAUGAUUAAGAAAGAAGAGGAGAGAUUAAGAGCUUCCAUUCGUAGAGAAUCUCAGCAGCGAAGAAUGCGAGAGAAGCAGCACCAGCGUGGUCUGAGUGCAAAUUAUUUAGAACCUGAUCGCUAUGAAGAAGAGGAUGAGGGUGAUGAUGCGAUCAGUCUAGCUGCUAUCAAAAACAGAUACAAAGGUGGCAUCAGAGAGGAACGUGCUAGAAUCUAUUCUUCGGACAGUGAUGAGGGCUCAGAUGAUGAUAAAACACAAAGACUACUCAAGGCAAAGAAACUGACUAGUGAUGAGGAAGGUGAACCUUCUGGAAAGAGAAAAGCAGAGGAUGAUGACAAAGCAAGUAAGAAGCAUAAGAAAUAUGUGAUCAGCGAUGAAGAAGAAGAUGAUGACGAUUAAUAAUGAGGAAGCACUAACGUUGCUUUAUAUAUAUAUAUUUAUAUAUAUUGUACAGUUCUCUUACAGCAAAGAUCUGAAUUCUGCUUUUCUGUAAAAUGAUAGAAGGGUUCAAGUGCCUCAUAGCGAGCAUUUUGCUGUCUGACAUUCCCUGUUUUUUCAAGAUACAGCAUUUAACUUGGACAUCUUGCUUUUUCUGUGUUUAAUUAGGCUAACAGUUUACUGAAGUACUCUACCUCCAUUUUUCCUGCCUGGAAAGUGUGGGAAGCAUUCUAGCUGCAGUAGCACAGAGCUCUGCAUGUGUUAACGUAUUCUGCUGAGCAGCUGACUGCAGUGUAGACACUUGCAAAUAUGAAAACAAAGUGAAAAAUUUCUACUCAGAAGUCUGAGUGCCUAAGAAACUUUUUUUUUUUUUUUAAAUAACUGUUACCAAGAGUUCCUGUGUCUCUUCAAUGUGCAGAUAAAACCUUUCUCCAUCUGCUGGAAUUUUGACCCUGUAAUCCUCUUAGGUUAAGACCUCUGCUAGGAGUCAGGUUCCUUACAUGAGGUUACCUGCUUUUCAUUUGUAACCUUCUCAGGAAGAAGCCAGCUGUAGAGAAAGGGAGUUGUUUCUUAUGCUGUAUGGAUACAACAUGCUGUACUUUCAUGUAAAAGCCUCCCAGAUACCUCUUAAAUGACAAUGCAAAACAUACACCACCAUUUCACUGAUGACGUGUUUGCUUAAAUGUCAGUUUAAUUGAAGUGUUGGCUGUUUGUACUACACUCAUAAGAGUGAAAAUGUUUUAAUCACUCUCAUAGGUUUGAUGCUAACUAAGCCUUUACUUAGUAAGUGGUUCACUUCAGCUUCCAGAAAUGAGGCUUUUUGUGGAUUACAAAGAUUAAAAGAAGUACUUUUUUUAUACUGUCUUCUUUUGUACAUUGCUCUUUUAAGUCUUAUUAAAACAUGGAAUUUUAGAAAAUAUUCUUUCAGCUUAAAUUGGUUUAGCAAUCACCUUGUAAUUAAAGUCAUUUGAAUGAACUUUGUCUUAUCUACAGUAUUUGUUAGUUGUUAGUCUAAUGCACAGUUUUGUUUAACUCAAGGGCAAUUUUGCUCUCUCUUUUUCUAGCCUCCAAGUAUGUGAGAACUGCUUGGAAUUGAUUCUUCUUAACCAAAUUAAAAAUACUAAGCCGAAACUAAAAUGUAUAAGGAGAAGGAAAGAGAAAGUAGGUUGAGUUUAGUUUACUUUUGUACUACCUGGUCAGAAUACCUUAUCCAGAAAGGGCAUGAUUUGAACAACUUCCAAAAAUAGAUUUCUUUGAAGAGCUGGCAUGAAGCUGAGUACUAGAUUUUCUGGCUAGUGGUAGGAUGUAUGAUAAAUUCUCCUGAAACCGUCAUUGAAAGCUGUUCUUGGCUAUAUAGUUUUGUUGUUUCAAUUAUAUCCUUCAACUGUAUACUUCCCAGUUGUUGAACUGGAGUUUUCUUACUAGUGCUGGGUAGCAUUUUGCACUAGACAUUUUCCUCUAUCCUAGCCAUGCAACUUGACAGUUUUCAUGCUGGAGCACAUCUGAUGGAUCAAGGGGCUGCAACUGAGAGGAGCAGCUGCCCAUGCAGUCCCCUCUUCCUAGAAGCAGGCUUGGCAGUGUCUUGUCUAGCUCAGAGAGUCAACUUGCUAAAAUCUCAGGAAACUUACUUUCUGCCGAGUUUGAUGUUUGUACCAGAUAAGCCAACAGAACUGCUUUAUUGGCCAAGUGAGCAUCAAACCAGUAAGUUGGUGUGGUCAUGACUUAGGGGAUGUGGGCGAAGGAUGUUUUCUUUGGCAGAGGUGUAAACAUUUACUUGGCUGUCUUUGAAAACUUACCUGACCCUAUAGAGGUAAAUGGAUAGUUUGUUUUGUUUUGUUUUUACUGGUGUAGCUGCCUGAGCUGGCACCGUGAAGAGUCAGUUGUGACUUGAGGUAGUGCAAGGGGAAGCAGCCAGAGCAGGACACUUCUGUAUGUGGCAGCAAGUUUUAACUCAGAUCUGACGUGAAGCUGCAGCCACAGGAACGUGUUGAACAUGAGAUGGUGACUUUCCAGUGAAGCAAUGGGUAUUUAUUUUUCAGCCAGUAGGCACAGGAGGAGUCCUUGGUGUCAGCCCAUUCUAGUAAACUGCUUGUUUUUCUAACGGCUUUAAACUGCUAAUCAAGCUGAGUGUUGUUGAACUUACAGAGAUUAUUAUGUGGGAAAGAUUGACGAGAUUUUAUUUCUGAUAGAUGUUCUUUUAACGUUUGCUAUAAGAAGUAUUACACAUUACACUCAUGAAAUUUAGCUAGGCUAUUCUAAUGCUUAGACACUUGCCUGUGGCUUGACUUGAAAGUGCUUCUAGGAGGGCAAUGUGACUAAUACCCAGUGUUGCCUAGUGAUGCCCUUUGAUUUGAGCUGAGGUGGUUUUUUUGCUUGUCUGGACAUUAAAGACUUAGAGAAAAGCUGCAAACUAGUAUUGAUUACUAGCUUGUAUCUUUAAUUGCUUUAAAACUCUUGGACAUUCUGACAUAUAAGCUAAGUAGCUGAAAAAAUGAUGUAAAAUUAAGUAAAUUCAUGCUGAAAUGAUUCUCUGACAGAAUCUGACAAAAAUACUUUCACAAGACUUGGUUUCUUGAUUAUUUUAUUUAUUUUUAAGAGUAUUUUUCUGGUUUAAAACCUUUAAUGGAAUGAUACUUGGAAAAAAAAAGAUUUAUUAAAGUCGAAGUGUAACUUUAGAAGUGUUUUUGUUUCUUACUUUGUUUUCUAUUAAGUCAUGAAAUGAGAGGUUGUAGAGCCAGUUUCCCAGCAAAAGUAGCUUCAUGUCUUUGGGUUAUGUUGAAAUUUUCUGGGAGGCAAUAGCAUUCAUGCAGUUAUCAAUGAUAGUCAUGAAUCAUAUAUACACUGUAUUCUUUAUGUAUUGUAAAUUAAAGAUAAAUAAAAUCUUAUGAAACAGUGAAAGUAUUAACUAACACACCCUCUUUUUUAUAUCCUGUGACUGAAUCAAAUUAUAUCUGAUUUUAUAUUGUUUUAUGCUUUUCCUGGUCUUCUCACGAUACCUCACUUCGUAACAUAACUGUGAAAAGGACAUGCUAAUCCUAGCCUGAUGAAUUUGCAAAUUGCGGAUUGUUUUUUGUUUGUUUGUUUUGUUUUCUUCUUCAUCUGCCAGUGUAAAGAUGUAUGGUAAACAUUCUGUAUAGGAUGUGUUCUUACAUUAGGAUUCAUUGUUGAUCUCUACGAUAAAUCCAUU